Molecule: ribosomal RNA, 207 nt
Filed under: uncultured bacterium
Lineage: Bacteria
Description: partial 16S ribosomal RNA
Rfam family: Bacterial small subunit ribosomal RNA
Source: RNAcentral
UGCGUAGGUGGUGGGGUAAGUCGGAUGUGAAAUCUCCGAGCUCAACUCGGAAAGUGCAUUGGAAACUACCCUGCUCGAGGGUUGGAGGGGGGACUGGAAUACUUGGUGUAGCAGUGAAAUGCGUAGAUAUCAAGUGGAACACCAGUGGCGAAGGCGAGUCCCUGGACAACUCCUGACACUGAGGCACGAAAGCUAGGGGAGCAAACA